This 1421-nucleotide long non-coding RNA is filed under the name Calidris pugnax (ruff). RNAcentral describes it as "lncRNA (ENSCPUG00000007216.1)". The record is from RNAcentral. Lineage: Eukaryota; Metazoa; Chordata; Aves; Charadriiformes; Scolopacidae.
CCUCCUCUCCCCGGCCCCCCGCGGUUCAUCCCAGGUUUGCCGGAACCUGUCCCAGAUGGGUCAGGGAUGCCCCGCGGUGCAGGACGGGGACAGACCCCAGCACACACCAGGUUUCGGUGUGGAGAUGGACAGAAGGACCCGGACGGUGGUGGUGGCCAGCAAGGACCACGUCCCAGAGCAGAGGGAGAGCCGGGACAGGGACACUGGGGUUCCAGCACUGGGCUGGGCCGUGCACCAGUGCUCCCAGAGCUGGACCUGAGCCGCAGGGAGCCCAGGAGAGACCGGAGGUGUCAGGGGCCAGGUCUGGACCACCAGCCCUGCAGACCACCAGCCCUGCGCUGCCUGGGGGGACCCCAGCCCUUCAGAGACACCGAGAAAGAAAUCAGAGCCACCCGCCUCCCCCAGACGAGCCCACGCAGCCGCAGCUCAGCCCCGGGAGGUGCCGGGGGGGCGGCUCAGCCCAUGCACGCAGAGGCUGCAUGCUCCCCAAAGGGCAGAGGCUCCCAGCGCCGAGGAGCUCGUCUGCAGAAAAAGAGGAACCCCGAAACAGCCCCUUCCUCGAGCACCAUUUCCCCACCACCGGGGAGGCCCAUCACCGGCGUUGGCCAUACUUGCAGCACCACGUCCCUGCCAUCUCUCCCGCACACGGGGACCUGGCUGUGGGGCAGCAGCCCCCCGGUGCUGCCGGGGCUCCCCCUCUCGCGCCUCGGCCCCGGUGAAGGAGCGGGGAGGGGGUGCAGCAUCCCCACGCCGCGCUCGCUGUUUACAUUCCUGCUGCUCCUUCCCCGGCCGCGCCAGCUGGGCCGGCAAUGGGGCGCAGGGCGGCUCGGCACGCGCUGGAGGGUGGCCAGCAGGAGCUCCCGGCCAGCGCCGAGCAACCCCCUGGCCCCGGUCCAGUGGCCACGAUCCAAGCGCCGGCGCUGGCGGCUGACGUGCCGGGGAAAGCCUCUCCCGGGCCCGGCGCUUCGCCUCCUCUCCUCCGCCCACGGAGCAGCCAUGGCAGCUGCUUUCCUCCCCCCUCCGGCUGUUUCCACGAUUAACCGCCAUGCCGGGAUCUCCCUGCUGACCCCGGGAAGCUUUCCGCUGGGAAGCCAAAAGGGAGGUGGAGGGGGGGGUUCAGUCUAUUUUGCCGGUGCAGCCUGGGGGGCAAAGGCGGGGAGGGGGCAGAGGAUGCGCCGGUGUCCCCAAGCGCCGUGGUGGGGGACUUGGUGGAGGUUACGGCACAUCCACAGACCCCUGUGGCAGCGCACGUCCUGCCAACACCACCACCCCCCAAUUUUCCCACUGGAUCCCAAGGGCUGGGAGCAAUUGCCAGGUCCCCCAGGAGCAUCGGGUCCGGCACGGCACCGACACGGUGACAAACAGGAAGAUCACGGCUGCGGUAUCAAAAAAAAAAAAAAAAAUUAAAAAAAAAAAGCGCC